This is a long non-coding RNA of Anneissia japonica, 82 nucleotides long. RefSeq lists it as uncharacterized. The record is from RefSeq and is a predicted model, not a curated record. The transcript has 2 exons. Lineage: Eukaryota; Metazoa; Echinodermata; Crinoidea; Comatulida; Comatulidae.
UGGUUCACCAUACUGAUCAAGACGGAUCACAAAGUAAAGGAACAAUGCUGACUUGGCGAGAUGAAUUUUCUUCACCGUUUAC